GAGGAUAUUGCUCAGCAGUAGAGCACAUGCUUAGCAAGCACAGGGUCCUGGGUUCAAUUCCUGGUACCUCCA
RNAcentral lists this transfer RNA (72 nucleotides) under Camelus bactrianus (Bactrian camel). It matches the Rfam family "tRNA". Rfam says of the family: Transfer RNA (tRNA) molecules are approximately 80 nucleotides in length. The record is from Rfam by way of RNAcentral. RNAcentral also lists the same sequence under 2 other names. Lineage: Eukaryota; Metazoa; Chordata; Mammalia; Artiodactyla; Camelidae.